Molecule: small nucleolar RNA, 91 nt
Organism: Cricetulus griseus (Chinese hamster)
Lineage: Eukaryota; Metazoa; Chordata; Mammalia; Rodentia; Cricetidae
Product: small nucleolar RNA SNORD91 family
Source: Ensembl
CUUAGGAGCCAAUGAUGUUUUUAUUCAAUGUCUGAACCUGUCUGAAGCAUCCCAGUGAUGCGAACUGUGUUAUGCUGAGGCUUCUUUGCUG